This 301-nucleotide ribosomal RNA is filed under the name uncultured bacterium. RNAcentral's name for it is "partial 16S ribosomal RNA". It matches the Rfam family "Archaeal small subunit ribosomal RNA", at positions 459 to 760 of the family's 1478-position model. The record is from RNAcentral.
CAGUCGCCGCGGGAACACCAGCAGCCCAAGUGGUGGUCGCGUUUAUUGGGCCUAAAGCGCUCGUAGCCUGGCCGGUAAGUUCCCCGUGAAACCAGGUCGCCCAACGAUUCGGCUUGCGGGGAAUACUGUCGGUCUUGGGGCCGGGAGACGCCGAGGGUACUCCGGGGGUAGCGGUGAAAUGCUGUAAUCCUCGGGGGACUACCAGUGGCGGAGGCGCUCGGCGAUAACGGGCCUGACGGUGAGGGGCGAAAGCUGGGGGCGCGAACGGGAUUAGAUACCCCGUAGUCCCUGUCUCUUAUAC